CACAAAAGUGCUUCAUAUUCAUUUAUUUGAAUCAGCAGUCUGCUUGUUAAUUUCUGGCAAACAGGCGUGAAUUUCAAAAGCAUUUCAGUCCCACUCUGGGGAGCCAGAGCUUUCAUUCUUCCUACAACAUACUAAAACAAAUGUUGAUAUCACAAAAAGAAGAGACUAAAAGGACAAGGAUUCAAGCUUUGUGACAUGGAGUGUUGCCCUCCCUAAAAACUUGGUCAGUGUUACAGAAUUACAGAGUAGGCUUUUCUGAUCAUUUGGAUUUGUGCCUGCACAGAGAAGUUUCCCUUACCCACUGGGACAUGCUUGUGGAGGGAGUUACCACUGCAUUAACUCUUCUAGUCACCUCAAGCUAGUUUCAGGGUCUCUUCCUUGUGCCUCUUUCAGGUACUGACAUGAUCCCCAUCAUCACCAUGCUUGGGCACUUCUCAGUGGAUGAUCCCAGCAAUAUCCUUGUGAGGUACCUUUGGACCCUGCUGACACCAGGAGCACUUCUGACUUGGGAACACUUCUGAACUACAGAACACUUACACGAGAGGGAUGGAUCUCAUCUAGACACAAAGAGAAAUGGGCAUCUGGCUAUGAGCAUUCAGUGUGGCCUUCUGUGCCUCCCAAGUAUUUGUCAUACAGGACUGUAACCAAACAUCUGCAUGCAACUUGGCCAAAAGUGCUCCCUGUUGUCUGGGUCAAGAGAGCUGCUGAACCAGUACCUUUGAGAGCCUUUUACAGUCCCUACUUCAAGAAGGAGAGGCACUGUCAGGGCACCACCAGCCCAGCCUGUCCCUGCCCAGCAUUUCCUGGGGCUCCCCCAACCCUGUUCUGGUUCCUGGAGUCCUUUCCAGCCCCCCAGAGCCAUCAGCCUCUACCCAGAACACAGAAAUAGGGCCAGACUCAAGUUCCCCACAGCCCUGCCUGGCCAUGGUCCCACUGCCCCAGGGAGGUGUCCAGUGCCCAGAGUUGGGGCUGAGCCCAGAGCCCCUCUCCAGGCCUGAUCCUGAUCCCCCCUGCAGACUGACUUCUUGGCCUUGCCUGUGUGUGUGUAUGGCAGGGAGCUGAGGUUUGUGGAAAAUUAAAAAUUAAAAUGAGCAGACAAAUUCAUUGCAUUUUG
Long non-coding RNA from Oenanthe melanoleuca, 1114 nucleotides. RefSeq lists it as uncharacterized. The record is from RefSeq and is a predicted model, not a curated record. Lineage: Eukaryota; Metazoa; Chordata; Aves; Passeriformes; Muscicapidae. The transcript has 3 exons.